GAUGAACGCUGGCGGCGUGCCUAAUACAUGCAAGUCGAGCGAACGGACGAGAAGCUUGCUUCUCUGAUGUUAGCGGCGGACGGGUGAGUAACACGUGGAUAACCUACCUAUAAGACUGGGAUAACUUCGGGAAACCGGAGCUAAUACCGGAUAAUAUUUUGAACCGCAUGGUUCAAAAGUGAAAGACGGUCUUGCUGUCACUUAUAGAUGGAUCCGCGCUGCAUUAGCUAGUUGGUAAGGUAACGGCUUACCAAGGCAACGAUGCAUAGCCGACCUGAGAGGGUGAUCGGCCACACUGGAACUGAGACACGGUCCAGACUCCUACGGGAGGCAGCAGUAGGGAAUCUUCCGCAAUGGGCGAAAGCCUGACGGAGCAACGCCGCGUGAGUGAUGAAGGUCUUCGGAUCGUAAAACUCUGUUAUUAGGGAAGAACAUAUGUGUAAGUAACUGUGCACAUCUUGACGGUACCUAAUCAGAAAGCCACGGCUAACUACGUGCCAGCAGCCGCGGUAAUACGUAGGUGGCAAGCGUUAUCCGGAAUUAUUGGGCGUAAAGCGCGCGUAGGCGGUUUUUUAAGUCUGAUGUGAAAGCCCACGGCUCAACCGUGGAGGGUCAUUGGAAACUGGAAAACUUGAGUGCAGAAGAGGAAAGUGGAAUUCCAUGUGUAGCGGUGAAAUGCGCAGAGAUAUGGAGGAACACCAGUGGCGAAGGCGACUUUCUGGUCUGUAACUGACGCUGAUGUGCGAGAGCGUGGGGAUCAAACAGGAUUAGAUACCCUGGUAGUCCACGCCGUAAACGAUGAGUGCUAAGUGUUAGGGGGUUUCCGCCCCUUAGUGCUGCAGCUAACGCAUUAAGCACUCCGCCUGGGGAGUACGACCACAAGGUUGAAACUCAAAGGAAUUGACGGGGACCCGCACAAGCGGUGGAGCAUGUGGUUUAAUUCGAAGCAACGCGAAGAACCUUACCAAAUCUUGACAUCCUUUGACAACUCUAGAGAUAGAGCUUUCCCCUUCGGGGGACAAAGUGACAGGUGGUGCAUGGUUGUCGUCAGCUCGUGUCGUGAGAUGUUGGGUUAAGUCCCGCAACGAGCGCAACCCUUAAGCUUAGUUGCCAUCAUUAAGUUGGGCACUCUAAGUUGACUGCCGGUGACAAACCGGAGGAAGGUGGGGAUGACGUCAAAUCAUCAUGCCCCUUAUGAUUUGGGCUACACACGUGCUACAAUGGACAAUACAAAGGGCAGCGAAACCGCGAGGUCAAGCAAAUCCCAUAAAGUUGUUCUCAGUUCGGAUUGUAGUCUGCAACUCGACUACAUGAAGCUGGAAUCGCUAGUAAUCGUAGAUCAGCAUGCUACGGUGAAUACGUUCCCGGGUCU
RNAcentral lists this ribosomal RNA (1372 nucleotides) under uncultured bacterium. RNAcentral's name for it is "bacterial SSU rRNA". It matches the Rfam family "Bacterial small subunit ribosomal RNA", at positions 28 to 1381 of the family's 1533-position model. The record is from RNAcentral.